RNAcentral lists this ribosomal RNA (468 nucleotides) under uncultured bacterium. RNAcentral's name for it is "partial 16S ribosomal RNA". It matches the Rfam family "Bacterial small subunit ribosomal RNA", at positions 28 to 507 of the family's 1533-position model. The record is from RNAcentral.
GACGAACGCUGGCGGCGUGCUUAACACAUGCAAGUCGAACGGAAAGGCCCUGCUUUUGUGGGUUGCUCGAUUGGCGAACGGGUGAGUAACACGUGAGUAACCUGCCCUUGACUUUGUGAUAACUUCAGGAAACUGGGGCUAAUACCGCAUAUGAUCUCCUGCUGCAUGGUGUGGGUUGGUAAGUUUCGGCGGUUGGGGAUGGACUCGCUGCUUAUCAGCUUCUUUGUGUGGUAGUGACUUACCAAGGCUUUGACGGGUAGCCUGCCUGAGAGGGUGACCGGCCACAUUGGGACUGAGAUACGGACCAGACUCGUACGGGAGGCAGCAGUGGGGAAUAUUGCAGAAUGGGCGGAAGCCUGAUGCAGAAACGCCGCGUGCGGGAUGACGGCCUUCGGGUUGUAAACAGAUGUCGAAUGUGACGAAGAGUGAGUGACGGUAAUGGGUAAAGAAGCAACGGCUAACUACGUG